GUAACGGGUCAAAGUGCUAGAAAGUCACUUGAAGCUUCUUCUAUUUCCCUAUUCUCUUGGUGCAAAUUCCUUUGAUCAUCUUCAUUUGUGGCACUAAAGCCAAAUCACAUUAAAUUCCUUUAUGCUCAUGUUAUUUGUUUUUGUCAUUCUUCUUCUACAUAACCAAUAGGAAAGCCCUAUAUAUGACACAACAAUAAUUAUUAACUUCACAUUUGCUAAACAAUUACUAAUGCCAAGAUGGAAUUUUAGUGACAAAAUUUUAAUACUUGACCAUUGAUGAUUCUUAUAUAUUUG
RNAcentral lists this unclassified non-coding RNA (294 nucleotides) under Hevea brasiliensis (rubber tree). The record is from RNAcentral. Lineage: Eukaryota; Viridiplantae; Streptophyta; Magnoliopsida; Malpighiales; Euphorbiaceae.